Molecule: long non-coding RNA, 352 nt
Filed under: Gallus gallus (chicken)
Lineage: Eukaryota; Metazoa; Chordata; Aves; Galliformes; Phasianidae
Source: RNAcentral
AUUUGUCCCUACAGGUCUCUAGAAACUUCUCUAGUUGCGUUGGAGUAAUCCUAUCCAACUGAUACAAAACCCGUGGCUCUGUUGUGCCAUUGUCAUUGAUACCGUACUUGUCCCUAGUUUUUUUUAUCUUCUCAGAAACACCUUUGAUGAAUUUUUUUAUUUCCUGAAGAAAACUGUCUCGGCAGCAAAGAAAUUCAUUCUUCUUCAUGAUAGAUUCAGAUGUUAAUACCAAUUCAUUUUUACUUAGGGCUGGUUCACUUCGGCAUGGAUAUACAGCUCUGAUAUUGUCCAGAACUCGCUUAAAUUCCAGUGGUUCAUCCUUCCCUUCCAUUGCUGCAGGAUCCAAGCCAUC